This 378-nucleotide unclassified non-coding RNA is filed under the name uncultured bacterium. RNAcentral's name for it is "contains 16S-23S intergenic spacer region". The record is from RNAcentral.
UCCGGCUUAACGCCGGCGGUCUCCCUAGAGUGCCCAACUGAAUGGUGGCAACUAAGGAUAGGGGUUGCGCUCGUUAAGGGACUUAACCCGACAUCUCACGAUACGAGCUGACGACAGCCAUGCAGCACCUGAACCGGAAGUGUAUUGCUACAAGACCGUAUCUCUACGGUUGUCUUCCGUUAUCUAACCCAGGUAAGGUUCUUCGCGUUGCAUCGAAUUAAACCACAUGCUCCACCGCUUGUGCGGGCCCCCGUCAAUUCCUUUGAGUUUUAAUCUUGCGACCGUACUCCCCAGGCGGGGUACUUAAUGCGUUAGCUACGGCACGGAUCCCAAGGAAGGAAACCCACACCUAGUACCCACCGUUUACGGCGUGGACUA